UAUAAUAGGUAUCCACACACAUGCUAAUUCAUCUGUGAGCCAAUCGGAGAGACCGAACGAUCGAUCGCCGAGAGGCUGAGCUUAUAAAUCAACCGUCGAUCAGCCGCCGUUCUCCGCCGUUGGCGGCUGGAAACUGAUAAAUCCUCUCUUUCUAUUUAUUUUUAAUUAUUAUUAUUUUUUUUACGUAUUUUUGUUUCUUGUGGAAUCGUGAAAAGCUCUCUUCGCUGGAAAUGCUACCGAAGCCCUCUGUAUCGUCUGUUCUAAUAGACCAAAUCAACGGCUCCGAUUCAAUCUCCGUCUCAAUCCAUUGCCAUAAGGAGGCUCAGAAGUGGUUUCCGGUGCAGGAAUCCGUAGCCCUUUACCAUACGCACGCUGUGGGGCCCAACCAGACCUGCUCCGCCGUGGUCCGAGAAAUCGCCGCCCCCGUCUCCACCGUCUGGUCAGUGGUCCGGCGGUUCGACAACCCUCAGGCUUACAAACACUUCGUCAAGAGCUGCCACGUCGUUGUAGGCGACGGCAACGUCGGAACCCUAAGGGAGAUCCACGUCAUCUCCGGCCUUCCCGCCGGCUGCAGUACAGAACGUCUCGAGAUUCUCGACGACGAACACCACAUCCUCAGUUUCAGCAUGAUCGGCGGCGACCACCGCCUCGCCAACUACAGAUCCGUCACAACACUCCAUCCGUCGCCGACCGACGGCGGAAAUAAAACCAUCGUCGUGGAGUCCUACGCCGUCGAUACGCCGCCGGGAAAUACCAAAGAAGAAACAACCGUGUUCGUCGAUACGAUUCUCCGUUGCAAUCUUCAGUCGUUGGCUAAACUCGCCGAAAAUUUGCAUAAACCCAAUAAUCAAUCUCCGCCGUAACUUCAUCAAUUAGAACCUUCUCUAUUUUCCUCUGUUCUCUGCUUCUUCAAUUUUUGGCUUAAUCGUCUAGAAAUUCUCAUUGGCAAUUGGAAGGUUCUAGAAAGAGGAGGUGAAAUUGUUAAGGGCAGUGGAGACAGGGCCUUUAUUUAUUUUUUUAUUUUUAUUUUUAA
Cucurbita moschata (crookneck pumpkin) is the source of this 1033-nucleotide RNA transcript. It is a transcript of the gene named abscisic acid receptor PYL4-like, with no coding region annotated. The record is from RefSeq and is a predicted model, not a curated record. The transcript is spliced from 3 exons. NCBI's taxonomy places the organism in Eukaryota, Viridiplantae, Streptophyta, Magnoliopsida, Cucurbitales, Cucurbitaceae.